GGUUAUUAGCCUAAGGAGGCCCUUUGUUUUGAAAGCAAAAAAAAGACGUUCGAUUCGUUUAAUAAUCU
RNAcentral lists this transfer RNA (68 nucleotides) under Lineus viridis. RNAcentral's name for it is "tRNA-Ser". It matches the Rfam family "tRNA". From Rfam's summary of the family: Transfer RNA (tRNA) molecules are approximately 80 nucleotides in length. Their secondary structure includes four short double-helical elements and three loops (D, anti-codon, and T loops). The record is from RNAcentral. Lineage: Eukaryota; Metazoa; Nemertea; Pilidiophora; Heteronemertea; Lineidae.